GAUGAACGCUGGCGGCGUGCCUAAUACAUGCAAGUCGAGCGAACGGACGAGAAGCUUGCUUCUCUGAUGUUAGCGGCGGACGGGUGAGUAACACGUGGAUAACCUACCUAUAAGACUGGGAUAACUUCGGGAAACCGGAGCUAAUACCGGAUAAUAUUUUGAACCGCAUGGUUCAAAAGUGAAAGACGGUCUUGCUGUCACUUAUAGAUGGAUCCGCGCUGCAUUAGCUAGUUGGUAAGGUAACGGCUUACCAAGGCAACGAUGCAUAGCCGACCUGAGAGGGUGAUCGGCCACACUGGAACUGAGACACGGUCCAGACUCCUACGGGAGGCAGAAGUAGGGAAUCUUCCGCAAUGGGCGAAAGCCUGACGGAGCAACGCGGCGUGAGUGAUGAAGGUCUUCGGAUCGUAAAACUCUGUUAUUAGGGAAGAACAUAUGUGUAAGUAACUGUGCACAUCUUGACGGUACCUAAGCAGAAAGCCACGGCUACCUACGU
RNAcentral lists this ribosomal RNA (496 nucleotides) under uncultured bacterium. RNAcentral describes it as "partial 16S ribosomal RNA". It matches the Rfam family "Bacterial small subunit ribosomal RNA", at positions 28 to 506 of the family's 1533-position model. The record is from RNAcentral.